AAAUUUUACAAUGAUCGUUUCAUGUAACAAUUGUCUUCCUUACCCUUCCUUUUAAAAAUCUUUAUUAGCUAUAAGCAUCCAGAUGAAAACCACCUAAGGUGUAAUGGACCCCUAUGGAACUUCCUGGAGAACAUAAAGAGAAGGAAAAUGUGACCUACAUUUAUUCUGUGGGAUUUGAGUAUGAUCUGAAGUUACAAGGAAGAUGGCAGUGCGUCAGGACAGAAAGCCGAAAAGGUAAUGAACUACCAGGUGUCGUGGCGCACACCUGUAGUGGCAGUAUUCAGAAGGCUGAGGCAGGAGGACCGCUGGGAGUUCAAGGCCAGCCUGGGCUAUAUAAUGAGUUCAAGGCCAGCCUGAACUGCAUAGCAUGAUCCUGUCUCAAAUAAACAAACAAG
RNAcentral lists this long non-coding RNA (395 nucleotides) under Fukomys damarensis (Damara mole-rat). Its description in RNAcentral is "lncRNA (ENSFDAG00000023197.1)". Lineage: Eukaryota; Metazoa; Chordata; Mammalia; Rodentia; Bathyergidae. The record is from RNAcentral.